RNAcentral lists this ribosomal RNA (301 nucleotides) under uncultured bacterium. RNAcentral describes it as "partial 16S ribosomal RNA". It matches the Rfam family "Bacterial small subunit ribosomal RNA", at positions 509 to 807 of the family's 1533-position model. The record is from RNAcentral.
CAGCCGCCACGGUAAUACGGAGGGAGCUAGCGUUAUUCGGAAUUACUGGGCGUAAAGCGCACGUAGGCGGCUUUGUAAGUUAGAGGUGAAAGCCUGGAGCUCAACUCCAGAAUUGCCUUUGAUACUGCAUCGCUUGAAUCCAGGAGAGGUGAGUGGAAUUCCGAGUGUAGAGGUGAAAUUCGUAGAUAUUCGGAAGAACACCAGUGGCGAAGGCGGCUCACUGGCCCGGUACUGACGCUGAGGCGCGAAAGCGUGGGGAGCAAACAGGAUUAGAUACCCCAGUAGUCCCUGUCUCUUAUAC